UACGUAGGGUGCAAGCGUUGUUCGGAAUCAUUGGGCGUAAAGCGCGUGUAGGCGGUCAGAUAAGUCGGUUGUGAAAGCCCCGAGCUUAACUUGGGAAUUGCGCUUGUGACUGGCGUGCUGGAGUGUGGCAGAGGGAGGUGGAAUUCCACGUGUAGCAGUGAAAUGCGUAGAGAUGUGGAGGAACACCGAUGGCGAAGGCAGCCUCCUGGGCCAGCACUGACGCUCAUGCACGAAAGCGUGGGGAGCAAACAGG
This 253-nucleotide ribosomal RNA is filed under the name uncultured prokaryote. RNAcentral describes it as "partial 16S ribosomal RNA". It matches the Rfam family "Bacterial small subunit ribosomal RNA", at positions 524 to 776 of the family's 1533-position model. The record is from RNAcentral.